Long non-coding RNA from Musca domestica (house fly), 615 nucleotides. RefSeq lists it as uncharacterized. The transcript has 4 exons. The record is from RefSeq and is a predicted model, not a curated record. NCBI's taxonomy places the organism in Eukaryota, Metazoa, Arthropoda, Insecta, Diptera, Muscidae.
AUUAUUAACACACGCUUUAAAAAAAUAUGAUAGAGUAUAAUUUAAAAUUUGUAUCACUAGCAGCGGCUUACUUCAAUUUGAUAGUCGCCCUUAUUGGAAUCGGAAUCUCAAUUGGGGAAAUAAAAAAUGUUAUUGGAUGGUUGGUUUCCAUAGUUGGCUAUUUUUAUAUUCGAUCAUGUUGAUUAGUGUCUCAGUUACAUUAGUUAUUGGAAUUAAAAAGAAUGAGUUGAAGGUUCUGACACCCUUUGUCUUUUUUACCAUGUCUAUAUAUUUUGUUCAUGGUUUCUUGAUAAUUGUCAAUUUUAUUUCGGGCUUAAUUCUUCUAACGUUUGUUUCGCCGUAUCUCAUUUUGCUAUUGUUUGUGUCAAUAGUUGUUCUCCAAGUUCAAAUACUGUGGCCAAUGUGGAAUUUAUAUAGACAUCGUAAUUCAGAAAGCGAAACACCAAUAUCUAGCGCCAUUUACCUCCAGUAAGAAUAAAAAAACAGCCAUAUUUUGUUUGUAUGCCCGAGGUCUGUUCAAUAGAAACAAGAAUAUAUGUUAUGAAUGAAACAUAAAUUAUAACCAUUUACUAAUAAUGUUUAAUAAUAAUUUUUAUAAAUUGUUUUUUGAGCUAA